Molecule: ribosomal RNA, 253 nt
Filed under: uncultured bacterium
Lineage: Bacteria
Description: partial 16S ribosomal RNA
Rfam family: Bacterial small subunit ribosomal RNA
Source: RNAcentral
UACGGGGGGGGCAAGCGUUGUUCGGAAUUACUGGGCGUAAAGGGCUCGUAGGCGGCCAACUAAGUCGGAUGUGAAAUCCCCAGGCUCAACCUGGGAACUGCAUCCGAUACUGGAUGGCUUGAAUUCGGGAGAGGGAUGCAGAAUUCCAGGUGUAGCGGUGAAAUGCGUAGAGAUGCGGAGGAACACCGAUGGCGAAGGCAGCCCCCUGGGCCAAUACUGACGCUCAGGCACGAAAGCGUGGGGAGCAAACAGG